RNAcentral lists this ribosomal RNA (253 nucleotides) under uncultured bacterium. RNAcentral's name for it is "partial 16S ribosomal RNA". It matches the Rfam family "Bacterial small subunit ribosomal RNA", at positions 524 to 776 of the family's 1533-position model. The record is from RNAcentral.
UACAGAGGUCUCAAGCGUUGUUCGGAUUCAUUGGGCGUAAAGGGUGCGUAGGUGGCGCCGUAAGUCGGGUGUGAAAUUUCGGAGCUUAACUCCGAAACUGCACUCGAUACUGCGGUGCUUGAGGACUGGAGAGGAGACUGGAAUUCAUGGUGUAGCAGUGAAAUGCGUAGAGAUCAUGAGGAAGACCAGUGGCGAAGGCGGGUCUCUGGACAGUUCCUGACACUGAGGCACGAAGGCCAGGGGAGCAAACGGG